AAAAAAACAAAUUAAUUCCAGAAUUUUAGUGCAGAUUGGGAAUGCCGCCGUUUUUAACCGCGAAGAAUCCUUUCGAUUGUAUACCAGAUUCCGGCAUUUCAUCUGCCAGCCGAGGCAUCGAUCUUCCGACAGACAGCAUCUGCAAUGGGGCCUGUGUCAUCGGAAAGCGGGACGGGGAACCUGCCGAGGACUGUACGGAACUUUACGAACUUCUCCAUAUUCAGAGGGAACAGUAGCAACGGCGGCGUUGAAUCUGGACAACCGUCGUCCAGCCCAGCCCCUCCCGGGUUUCUUUGAACCAUAUCAGCAGUUGUUUCCUGGUCUCCACCCAAUGCAAGCGUCCAGUUGCAGAAAACAGAGCAGGCGAGUUCCAGUGGAAAAAGUAGGAAAAGAAUCCGCCAUCAGGUUAGUAAUAUAAUUUUUUUUUUAAAAUGUGAUAUGAUACAAAAGCUCAUGAUAAUUUCCAUGGCAAAUGGAUACAAAAUAGAAAGAAGAGGGAGACAAUAAAAUGCAAGUGCCUAGUUGUGUAAGGUAGGUCUAGUUGUUGCCUUAGCUCCAGGUGCGAGUGUUUAUUUCUUGCCAAAUAAGAUGGACACUCACAAGGUUACUCACAAGACUCAAGACACCCGAUUAUUACAAAAAACAUGGACAAUCAACUUUAGUUAGAUAAAUUUUCUAGUUUUGGUUCCACCCCUUCUUAUCUUAUUGUACUAUUGUCAUUAGUUAUUAGUCCAUA
Tarenaya hassleriana is the source of this 736-nucleotide long non-coding RNA. RefSeq lists it as uncharacterized. The transcript is spliced from 3 exons. The record is from RefSeq and is a predicted model, not a curated record. Lineage: Eukaryota; Viridiplantae; Streptophyta; Magnoliopsida; Brassicales; Cleomaceae.